AGCGAACGCUGGCGGCAGGCCUAACACAUGCAAGUCGAACGAACCUUUCGGGGUUAGUGGCGGACGGGUGAGUAACACGUGGGAACGUGCCUUUAGGUUCGGAAUAACUCAGGGAAACUUGUGCUAAUACCGAAUGUGCCCUUCGGGGGAAAGAUUAAUCACCUUUAGAGCGGCCCGCGUCUGAUUAGCUAGUUGGUUGAGGUAAUGGCUCACCAAGGCGACGAUCAGUAGCUGGUCUGAGAGGAUGAUCAGCCACAUUGGGACUGAGACACGGCCCAAACUCCUACGGGAGGCAGCAGUGGGGAAUCUUGCGCAAUGGGCGAAAGCCUGACGCAGCCAUGCCGCGUGAAUGAUGAAGGUCUUAGGAUUGUAAAAUUCUUUCACCGGGGACGAUAAUGACGGUACCCGGAGAAGAAGCCCCGGCUAACUUCGUG
Molecule: ribosomal RNA, 434 nt
Filed under: uncultured bacterium
Lineage: Bacteria
Description: partial 16S ribosomal RNA
Rfam family: Bacterial small subunit ribosomal RNA
Source: RNAcentral